RNA transcript from Diospyros lotus (date-plum), 8761 nucleotides. It is a transcript of the gene named protein SIEVE ELEMENT OCCLUSION B-like, with no coding region annotated. The record is from RefSeq and is a predicted model, not a curated record. NCBI's taxonomy places the organism in Eukaryota, Viridiplantae, Streptophyta, Magnoliopsida, Ericales, Ebenaceae. The transcript is spliced from 12 exons.
CAAAUGCACGCCACCACUUUCUAUAUUGAUCAUUCUUCUUCUUACUUUUCUCUCUACAUCUAAUCUGUCUCUCAUCACAGCUCCUAACCUCCAUGGAUACUGCAACUGUAAAUGAACAGAUGGUCCCGAAUGAAGAUGAACUAAUGAAACAAAUCCUGGCAAUUCACAACCCAGAUGGCAAGGAAUUUGAUGUACAACCUCUUCUUGAUGUUGUAGAGGAUAUCAUUCAACAUGCUAAUGGAACUUGGGUAAGUGGAAAAGAUGACACGGUUUCCCAAGGUGAUUUGAUUUGCAAGCUUGAUAAUUUGCCUUAUGAUGCAAUAAAGAAGGUUUCUUGUGAGUUCUCUCGGAAGUGUUCAGGGGCUCCAAACACUAUUAAAGUUUUUCAAUCACUUGAAAGCUACUCAUGGGAAGCCAAGGCGGUGAUAACCCUGGCAGCCUUUGCUGUGAACUAUGGCUCAUACUGCUUGAUUGCCCAGCUUUAUAAUAAAAGCAACCCAUUUGCCAAGUCCGUGGCAUUCCUCCAACUAUCACCAAAGAUACUAAAACGGAACCCUUUGAAUCUAAAGUUUGAGGAAUUGAUGAAAAUUGUUGUGAUCAUCUUUGGUCUUAUCAAGGACAUUGUUAAGGCCAAGAUCCAAUCUGAGUCUGUUUAUAAAGACUAUUUGGUGAAAGCUGUGAGUUUGAGCAUCCUGGGUAUUGUUGCUUGUGCAUCACAGAUGAUGGACACAGUGGGCACGCAAAAGGAGUAUAAACCUGCAGAUCAAAUGGAGGCCAGAAAAUUUGAAAUGCUCCUGCCUUUCGGGUUUAUGCCUUUCAGGUUUAAACCAACAGAUCAAACGGAGGUCCAGAAACUUUCUGACCUAUUGAAAAAUAUUGGAAACACGCGCAGCAACCUGAAGGAGGACUUGGAUAAAUGGACUCAAAAAAUUGAGGAAAAUUUUAAGAAACUCAAGAAGCUAUUCGAGAAAACAAAAACUGACAAUGUGGAGAUCCUCAACACUCUAUUUUCCUCCAAGGACAAUCAGGCGCCACUCUAUAAUCCUUCUACCAAUGCAGAGGAAAACCUCAACAACAAGCUGAGUGGAAGAUAUGUGAUGUUAUACAUUUCAAGCUUAGAGCACACCUUGGAAGAUGAAUAUUCCAAUCUUGGUGAUAAGUACAAAAACAGAUCAACUUUGUACGAGAUCGUAUGGAUUCCAAUUGUUGAUGAAUCAGCCUCAUGGAAUAAAGAGAUGGAAAAGAAGUUCAAGGAAAUUCAAAAGUCAAUGCCAUGGUACUCUAUUAGUGACCCUUCCAAGCUUGACAAAGCUGUCAUCAAGUACAUCAAGGCGAUUUGGAAUUUCACCGGAAAGUCACUGCUUGUGGUACUAGACCCACACGGAGACUUUGUGAAAGCUGAUGAUGUCAAAACAUUUUGGAUAUGGGAAAAGUCUGUUUUUGUAUUAGAAUCUGAAAGCACGGAGAACAAGUUGGAACAAGUCUGGAAAGGGACCACGAUUCAACUGCUGCAAGAUACCAUGGAUCCAUUUCUCACUGAAUGGAUUGACGUGAAAAAGUACAUUUUCUUAUUCGGAGGGGAUGAUGCAAAUUGGAUUCAGGAAUUUUUAGACGCUGUGUAUAAAGUUGCAAAGGCCACUAGAAUUGACUACGUCACAGCGUAUGUGGGAAAAAACAUCAUGAAUUGGGAAGCCCACGAGGAAAUUCUUAACGAGCAGGUGGAAUUUAAUGAGGAAACAUUGUAUGCAUUCGGGUCAAAGAAGUCCUUGUCGGCAUUUUGGGAUACCCUGCAAGGGAUCUGGCAAAAGAAGAUGGAUACUGGCGAGUCUAUGGUAGAUGAAACCACAAUGAAGGACAUCGAGACGCUUCUGAGCUUUGACAUGAGCGGUGAGGGAUGGGCUGCGGUUUGUCGUGGUCGAAGCCCUAAGUUGCCCAAAGCCCAUGGUAAAACCAUUCCGGAUUUCUUAAAUAGCUAUGCUGAUCAAUGGAUAGGGAGCAGCAAACAGCAUCUUGAUGUUGUAGAUGCACUCAUGAAUAGCUUCUCAACCUUCAUUGCCACACCAAUUGCUGUAGACAGCACUGUUGUCAGUGAAAAUUUUGAGAAACUCAAGAAGCUAUUCGGGAAAACAAAAACCGACAAUGUGGAGAUCCUCAGCGCUCUAGUUUCCUCCAAGGACAAUCAGGCGCCACUCUAUAAUCCUUCUACUAAUGCAGAGGAAGACCUCUACAACAAGCUGAGUGGCAGAUAUGCGAUGUUAUACAUUUCAAGCUUAGAGCACACCUCGGAAGAUGAAUAUUCCAAUCUCGGUGAUAAGUACAAGAAUAGAUCGACUUUGUAUGAGAUUGUGUGGAUUCCCAUCGUGGAUGAAUCAACCUCGUGGAAUGAAGAGAUGGAAAAGAAGUUCAAGGAAAUUCAAAAGUCAAUGCCAUGGUACUCUAUUAGUGACCCUUCCAAGCUUGACAAAGCUGUCAUCAAGUACGUCAAGGAGAUUUGGAACUUCACGGGAAAGUCAUUGCUUGUGGUACUAGACCCACACGGAGACUUUGUGAAAGCUGAUGAUGUCAAAACAUUUUGGAUAUGGGAAAAGUCUGUUUUUGUAUCAGAAUCUGAUAGCACGGAGAACAAGUUGGAACAAGUCUGGAAAGGGACCACGAUUCAACUGCUGCAAGAUACCAUGGAUCCAUUUCUCACUGAAUGGAUUGACGCGAAAAAGUACAUUUUCUUAUUCGGAGGGGAUGAUGCAGAUUGGAUCCAGGAAUUUUUAGACGCUGUGUAUAAAGUUGCAAAGGCCACUAGAAUGGACUACGUCACAGUGUAUUUGGGAAAAAACAACAUGGAUUGGGAAGCCCACGAGGAAAUAAUUAACGAGCGGGUGGAAUUUAAUGAGGAAACUUUGUAUGCAUUCGGGUUAAAGAAGUUCCUGUCGGCAUUUUGGGAUACCCUGCAAGGGCUCUGGCAAAAGAAGAUGGAUACUGGUGAGUCUAUGGUAGAUGAAACCACAAUGAAGGACAUCGAGACGCUUCUGAGCUUUGACACGAGCGGUGAGGGAUGGGCUGCGGUUUGCCGUGGUCGAAGCCCUAAGUUGCCCAAAGCCCAUGGUAAAACCAUUCCUGAUUUCUUAAAUAGCUAUGCUGAUCGAUGGAAAGGGAGCAGCAAACAGCGUGUUGAUCUUGUAGAUGCACUCAUUACAAAGGGCUAUCUGUGAAAGUGGUGAUAGUAACCCAGAGCACAGCUAAACUAAGAGUGCGAAUUGCCUUCUAUCCGUGACGAAAAUUAACAUGAAGUGAAGGCUUCCGAUGAUGAUUUGGUUGUAAAUUGUGAAGAUACUCUUCAAGAGGUUGAGAUCUCGAGAGGAAGCACAGAAAAGGAGAAGAGAAUAUUCAAUCGUUCCAGGUGAAAGCAGCGUCACUAAGGGAAAUGGCGUUAUCGAGAUGUAGCUGAUAGUGACAAUAGAUCUUUUGUAGUUUUUUAGUAUGUACGAAAUAUUCAGCCGUUGGCGUAUUAUUUUGGUGAUGUCAUGUUGAACAUCGAUGGUAUGAAUUCUAUAUUAUGAAUAAAGAAAUUAUUGUUUUUGUAUUAUCGAGGUUUCGAUUCUGCUUCCACUGAUGUGAUGAUAUUACUAGUUUUAGCUUAUUCUUUUAAAUUAAUAUGUUGAGAUAGUAGAUCGAGAUUGUCGUGGUUAAAUUUAUGUUAAGAAAAUUUUUUUUUUCCAAAAUCUCGAGUUAACGCACUCUUGGAAAAAACGGGGGGUUACAUCCCAGGAGGUCUUUCUCUCGCGAAAAAGACUUCCACAAUCUUCAUUCUUCAUAAUAACACUCUUUCGUGGGCACCGGCAUUGCUAGGGAGAAUGAUCCCUAGCCAUCAAAUACAAGUUCGGGAAUUGAUGCGCUUUUGAACUUAGCCUUUAUCAACAGGGGGACCGUCCUCCUCACUUCCCACUUGCCUAGCCUAAAUCUCUGGUUUGAUGAACAACAUGGAUGCCUAGUAGAGAUACAGGGUGGGGAGGUGCAUUCUUCUUUCAAGGGCCAGCAUAAUAGCUAGAGAAAAACCUUGGAAGGUUCAUAAUAGUAGAAGAAAAGCCUCACAAAAAGCUCCCUAGUGCCUUUAUGGAGGAUUCAAAGUAUGGCUCAUUUGGAGGUACUAUAGGAUGAAGGGGGAGUGCAUCUUCACUCAACUGACCCUUAUGGUGGCAAUUAAGGGAUGGAUUUUUUCUCGAUUUCUAUAGACGGCGCCAAAUUGUUGUUACCUAACUACAACAAUUAAAUUUAUUUAUCUUGAGAUCAGCCAAAACAGAGUUCUUCACCACGACAAAGGGUCUGAGAUGCCAUGAGCGAGGCCUAACAGAUGUGGAAUGGGUCAAAGCUGGAACCUAAAGAAGCAGGAACUCGAAUAGGUCCUUAAGGGCUUCUGGAUGAGUUGCUCGGAUAGGCCUCUUGGGAAUCAAGAGAAAGGGUACCUCGAUGGGUCUUUGGGAGGCAAGGCUUCUUAUCUUUUAGGUAAGCUAGGUUGGGACUUAGCCUGCGGUCACAAAUAGAAGUUAGAAAGGUACGCGAGAGACUCCCCCAUGUAGGCCCUCCAAUGUCGAAGUCAGACAAUAGUCUAAGGUAUGUCCAAAGUGUGAUAUAUGAUGCAAUUAGUAUGGGAUCAGCCAAAGCAGAGUUCUUUAACCAGCUCCAAAGUCUUCUUCUCACCAAAAUGACCAGCUAAACCUCCCCCAUGUGCUUCCCUCACCAAGAGUUCCCUUAUAGACCCAUUAGGAAUACAAAGUCUCUUAGAUCUAAACAAGUACCUUUCAUGCCUGUAGUAACCAUUAAUAGCCCAUUUCUCACAAGUUAAGUAAAUAGAAGCAAAGGUUGGAUCAUCCACAUACUAAUUUUUAAUCAAUUCAAACCUUAGUAGUUUAGCAUUCAUCAUGGUGAUUAGAGCAUACCUCUGUGAUAAUGCAUCUGCUACUACAUUUGAAUUUCCCUUUUUGUACUUGACGUAGGGAAAAACUUCUAAGAACUCCACCCAUUUGGCAUGCCUUCGGCUCAGCUUGUUUUGCCUUUUUUAAGUGAUUCAAAGAUUCAUGGUUCGUGUGAAUGACAAACUCUUUGGGUAGUAAGUAAUGUUGCCAAGUCUCCAAAGCUCUAAUCAAUGCGUAGAACUCCUUGACAUAUAUAGAAUAAUUCAAACUUCCUCCACUUAACUUUUCACUAAAAUAAGCUAUGGGACACCUAUCUUGCAUAAGGACAACCCUAAUUCCAACUCCGAAGCAUCACACUCCACUUCAAAAGUCUUCGAAAAAUCAGGGAGAGCUAAAAUAAGAGCGGAGCAUAAUUUCUCAUUGAUCAGCUCCAAACUUCUUUGGGCAGCCUCAUUCCAUCUAAAUUCACCACCUUUCUUGAUGUACAAAAAUAGUGUUGAAAUUCUUCGCAAACCUCUUAUAAAAAGAUGCUAGCCCAUGGAAACUCCUUACAUCUAAAACACUAGCAGGUACGGGCCACUCCUUAAUUGCUCUUACUUUCUCCUAAUCAAGUUCAACCCCAUGUUGUGAAACCAUGUAACUAAGAGAGAUUAUUCGGUUUUGACAGAAUUAACACUUCUUUAAUUUGCCAAAUAGCUUCUUCUGUCGUAACACUUCAAAGACUUUCCUAAGGUGCCCCAAAUGCUUCUCAAGAGUUCUAUUAUAAAUCAAAAUAUCAUCAAAAUAAACCACAACAAAUUACCAAUGAACUUACGAAGUACAUGAUUCAUCAAUCGCAUGAAGGUGCUAGGUGCAUUAGACAAGCCAUUCGUACAACAUGUGCUUUGUUUUGAAUGCAGUCUUCCAUUUAUCCUCCCCCUUUCAUUCGAAUAUGAUGGUAGCCACUUUUGAGAUCUAUCUUUGAGAACAAUUUAGAGCCAUACAACUCAUCAAGCAUAUCAUCCAACCUAGGGAUUGGGUAGCGAUACUUCAUCGUUAUCUUGUUUAUUGCCCAACUAUCCACACACAUUCUCAUAGUCCCAUCAUUUUGUAGCACUAGCAAAGCUAAUACAGAACAAUGACUCAUUGACUCCCUUACGUAUCCAUUCUCUAAGAACUCAAUUACUUAUCGAUGCAACUCCUUGGCUUCAUCUGGAUUGCUUCUAUAGGCUGGUCUAUUUAGUAAAGUAGCUCCUAGCAUGAGAUUGAUUUGGUGUUCAAUUCCUCUAAUUGGUGGCAGCCCCUUUGGUAUCUCUUCUGGAAACACAUCAACAAACUCUUCAAAAAGCUUCUCAAUUUGUGGUGGGAAAGAAGUUUCCUUGUUUGGCGUUGCUUCCUUUACUAUUAGCAUUAAAACCAAGUUGUGAAUGGACAAAGCUCAUUCUAUCUCUUCCUUCUCCAUCAAGAGUUGAUCUCGCUGCACUUGUUGUGGACUAAGAGGUGCUAAGGUUAUGUUUUUCCUGUCCUUGACAAAAGAAUAAGUGUUUUUGAACCCAUUAUGCACAACCCUCCUAUCAUACUGCCACGGUCUUCCCAAAAGCAAAUGACUCGCAUUUAUUGGAAUCACAUCACAUAACAACUCAUCUUAAUUUGCAUGUUUUUCCAAUUGAAAACGACACAACAACCUACCUAGAAUUCUUCAUCUUGAUGUUGUUUCCUGGAUCUCUUUGUUGCCCCCUUUGCCAUGGUUGUUCAACCAUGCUGUCUUCAUCUCCAGUUUCAUCUCCUUCGCCCUCAUCUUCAUGGAUGACCCUUCUUGGUGCUCGAGGAACGUGUUGCUGUUGUGGAGGAGGUUGAACUCCCAUCCUCUCAAAUGCUUAAGUCAAACGAGUAAGUUGCUUCAUCAUCUCUUCUUGUCUUCGUUGGAGACCCAGGAUUUGAGCUUGUUCCAAUGAAAGCCCUCUUGGUGCAUCUUCUUCAGCCAUGAUUAGAACCUAGGCUCUGAUACCAAUAUGAUGUGCCCGAAAUACAAAAAAAAAUACUAGCACCCCUCGUUUGAUAAGAAAGUUCGCCACAAACAAGAAAAUACUAACUUUGAUUCACCACACUCUAAGAUGGAAGAAGGAAGAGUGAUAAGAAUCAAGUAAAUUUUUCACUAAACAAAUGAAUUGCUUAGAUGAGAAUUAUGAUUAAAAAACUCUCUGCACUUUUUUCAUAAAAAUGUUCAUGCUAAAACAUUACAAGAUCACACAUAUAAAUACUAGUCUUAAAGACAAACUUAAUAAUUAAAAAUAAACAUCAUUGCAUCUUUUGACAAAAGAGGGCCAAGGAUGAUAAUAGACAAACCAAAAGCAUAAUGUAAAAUAUCAUCAUGCCAUUUUUGACAAAGGGAAUCAUGAUUGCCUCUUUUGACAAAAAGGGGGCUAAUGAUGAUAAAAGACAAACUAAAAGCAUAAAGAAAAACAUCAUCAUGCCACUUUUGACAAAGGAAAGAAUCAUGAUGAUAAAACACAAUAAUACAUAAAAGACAAAACACUCUCAAACAAUGAAGGGUGACAUCAUGCUUGAUAUCAGUUAUGAGACUUGAGCUUGUUGGAAAGAUUUAGGCCUGACAAAUGGGCUGAUUGCUUGGUUUUGAUCAUGGAGUGCCUAUGUUGCAUUCUAGUCUUAGGCUUCCAAGCAAACAAGUAAUGUGAUUAGUUUGGGCUUUAACUCCUUCACUUUGAAUUAUAACUCUUCCAAAUGGGCUGGAGUCUUCCCAAUAAAUAACUCAAGUUCCUUUCGAAAUUGUUUAGUCCUUAAAUGAGUAAUUGGCCCAAGACUUAUAUGCUCUUAGACAACCCUUACCUUUGCAUCUUUACCAUUCACAUCAGCUAGGCUAACAUAAACAUGAACUGGAAAGAGGCUUACAGUGGGUAUACUGUCCAGGGCCUACGAGUAAAAUAAAUGGUGUUAUGACAAAGGCAUGGAGAGAAUGGUCACCUUUAUUCUACAAAUGGUUUGAUAUUGUAAAUUGACUUUUCGAGGUUAAGCUUAAAUAUUGGCCAGUAUAGUUGUGAGUAUUGAGUCAUCGUCGUGGUUCAAGAUGGUUUGUUCGCGCUCUUCUCUCCUUGUGGAAUGAAACUAGGCUUAGUGGGGUGGUUCCCAGCCUAGGCAUUGUUAUGGGGUUGGUUAUCGGGUUCUUUAUUGAGGUCAUCUCAUUGUGUUAUUCAUUUAAAAGCAUGCAUGACUGAGAGAUAUAUAUUUGGGGGUUCCCAUGAGACUUGUGUUCUUGACCAUGGGCAUAAUGCAUUAUAUGUGUCUUCCUAUUGGGGCGAGCAAGGCUUGACACAUGGCUUAUGGGAGCUAUGUAUCAUCGUUUAUGCUCAUUAUGCCUCUGCAUCAUAUUUAGACAUGAGCACGACAUCAUAUGUGAUUUCCUAUAUGGGCGAGCAAGGCUUGAUGCAUGGCUUAUGGGGGCUAUGUAUUAUUGUUUAUGCUCAUAUGCCACUGCAUUAUAUUUGUGCAUUGCAUGGUUACUGGCACCGUGUAGGUGUGUGGAUGUUUGUCAGACGUUUUAGCGUGCUGAGCGAGCUUCGGUUCCAGUUACAAAGACAGCUGUUGGUCGCUCCUACCCGAGUGAGCUUCGACUCGAGAUUCAGAUAAACGUAAAGCUAAGUAUGGGGGCGAGGCUAGCAUCUUGAGUUAUCCCGAUAGGUGGUGUACAAGGCAGUCCUAGUAGAUCCUAGUUGGUGUGUUUCUUGUGAUGUUAUGCCAUGGAUGUUUAGCACUUGAGUGCUUGGCAUGGUUUUUUUGUAUGUGUAUAUGUAUAUACACUAUGUAACCCAAUAACCGCUUAUUUUUUAUAUGCAUGCCUAGGAUGUGAGUUAUGCUUC